RNAcentral lists this ribosomal RNA (457 nucleotides) under Carcinonemertes carcinophila. RNAcentral describes it as "partial 16S ribosomal RNA". It matches the Rfam family "Bacterial large subunit ribosomal RNA", at positions 1891 to 2597 of the family's 2925-position model. Lineage: Eukaryota; Metazoa; Nemertea; Enopla; Monostilifera; Carcinonemertidae. The record is from RNAcentral.
UUUUUUGUAUUUUAAUAAAAAAUUUUUUUUGCUCAAUGAUUUUAAAUAGCCGCGGUAAUUUGACUGUGCAAAGGUAGCAUAAUCAUUUGCCUCAUAAUUAGGGGCUUGUAUGAAUGGGAUGACGAGAAAGAUACUUUUUUGGGAAAGAGUAAAAAAUUUGUUUUUUUAGUGAAGAAACUAAGAUUUAAAAAUAGGACAAGAAGACCCUUUUGAUCUUUACUACUCAUAGUUUUUUAAACUUUAGGUAGUUUGGUUGGGGCGAUCGAGGAAAGUUUUUCUUCCUUUAUAAAUUUUGAUCCAAAUUUUUUGAUUUUAAGAGUAAGUUACCAAAGGGAUAACAGCGUAAUUUUUUUUGAAAGUUCUUAUUAAAAAAAAAGAUUGCGACCUCGAUGUUGACUUAUAACUUCCUUUAGGUGCAGAAGUUUAAAGGGUGGGUCUGUUCGACCUUUAAAGUUUU